CGGGGCCGGGGCCGGGGCCGGGGCCGCGCUCCCAACGCGGUCCGUGGUUCGGCCGCGGCGGAGCCGGGUCCGCGGGUCCCGCACGGGAGCGUGCGGCUGCGGCUGGAGCGCUGUGUUUUCCUUAGAGUGCCGCCCUGGUUUAGCUCGAGGUGCGUUACGGGCGCUGAGUCAGUUACUCCAGGACGAGAGGUUUGCUUAAUGUUUCCAGCUCUGCUGGUUUUGCAACCGAGAGGGGCCAGAGUUUGUUGUUUUUAAAGUUAGAUUUGGAUAUUACAUAACUCGGGGCUGGAGCGCUGAGCACGUGCCCGGGCCUUAAUUCCUUUUGCCCAAGGAUAUGUCAGCCUUGUUGGCUAAGUUGUGGGUGAGAAGCCCAGAAGAGAACUGCUCCCUGUAACCCGACGUUGUACCGCUCCUAAUGUCCUAUUUGUCCAUCUCAAAGGGGCAGGUUUUGCCCUCUAGAUGUACAGGUAAAGCUCACACAUCUCUAAAUAAAACUGAAAGUUAAGCCCUUUGCUUGUGGGCAAAAAGUAACAAUUAUUACCUAACUUCUGCAGUAAUGAGUGCACACGUUAAUGCUCCACCCUCUGUCAAAUAUGGCUUGUGGUUCAAGUUUAAUCUGCUGUUAAAACUCAGGAGUGCCCACAGCCAUUUGUGAGUAGAAACAGUGGAGAAACAUUUUGAAUUACCUGGUCUGGAUAAUGAACUGUCCUUCAGCUGAGCUGCUUUUAGAACAGUUUCUAUCCUAAAUACAGUAGAUCAGAAUUCAUCUUUAGGGAUGCCUGUCUCAGCACAGACUACUGACAGGGUAGGGUAUGCUAUACAAACUCUCAACCACAACUUCAGGCUGAGCUUCGUAAAAAAACGUUCUAUGAAGUUAGGGCAGUAAAGAUAGUAGAGAGAGCAAGGCCAGCACACUUGAAAGUUGUAAUGUCCUCAGGACAGCUUGUGAAUGUUGGCUGAUAGAGAUGCUCAUCUUUAUGAGAAUAUAUUUAUAUAUUGUUUUCUUGUAUUGAACUUUUAAUAGAAUGUUAGAAGCAAAUAAUUUUUUAUAAGAUACCAUAAUGUAUACCAUGUCAGAGGAGCUUACCCUACAUCCAACAAGGGGGCUUCUUGUGAUUUUUCAAGCAGCUUUGGCUUAGAUUUUAAACCUCUCUGGUCUGUACCAAAAAGAUGUGGUUUGUGAUUACAACCAUCUGUCUGUCAGCUAAGUGCAUUCCCUUACCCUGUGCUGAUAGCCUGCCUAGUGGGAAAAUACCACACCGUUGUUGAAGUCACAGGGAGCCAAGGCCACGCUGGGGCUUGCAUGGCUGAAGUGGUGAAUGCCACUGCCCUGGUUCCCUGUCCACCUUCUUUUUGCAGCCUUUUGUGCAUGCAGCUGUGGCAGGUGACUGCAGAAAUGCAUCUGUGCUGAAGUUACAAGUUUACAGACUAGAACCUGAGAGUAAAAUGAAAUUUGCAGCAUUUUGCAUGGGUCUGUCACACUCAGCUGGUGGACAUAACCUGAAUGCUCUGGAUUAUAUAUUUAUAACUUCAUUUUCUUGCAAGACUAUGUGGCUGUAGACUGGCUAAGCAGCCUGGUUUGAAAACUGUGACUGGCCCAACUAACAAAGUCAUUCUUUACACAUCUAGACAUCAAGGACUGAGAAAUUUGAGAAUAUGGGUCGUUGUGAUUAUUUUUUUGUCCCACCAGGCCCCGUCAUGCCACAGAGAAUGGUGAGAUAACAAGUAGAGGAAAACAGACAGGAAGGCUUGACAAGGGUUAAGCAGCAGCAAUGAAAAGCUCACUGGGAUUACAAGCAUUCAGAUGAGCUGCAGAAGGAGAAUUGUUUAGUUGUGAGAAGGCAGAAAUGGAGGAGAGAGCAGGCAUGUGGGAGAGGAAGUUGCCUUGAUCACAGGAUUUCCGUCACUCUCCACUGCAAGAGCAUGCAUGGGUGGAGCAAGCAGUGAAGCACAUCCCUGGCCUACAGAAGUUACAGAAGAUGCUUCAGACCAGCCUUUUAGUUAUCAGAAAUAUUAUUUCAAGCUCUGUAAAGACAAUAAACAUAAUGAUAUUAACACAUUGUUUUAAGGUCAGGUUUAUGCAAUCCAAGGCUUUAGAAGAAACCUUUGAGAUUCUACAACUGUUGAACGGCUUUGUUAGGGAGCACAAAAUGUUCUUUUCUCUUAACGUGUGGGGCCACUUUAAAUUUGUGCUUCUGCAUUAUUAAACCAUCGUGGGAAGUGCAGCAGGAGGAAACCCGGGUAAUUGGCUGCAGCUCCAGAUGCAGCCGCUCGCUCAUUGGAGAGAGGAGGAUUCUCCCCGUACUAAAAUUAGAGCAUCUCCGCCCUCCAGAAAUGCUUCUGGAAACAGCGAGCGGGAGGAAUUGUGACACAGCCCGAGGAGCCGUGGUGGGCAGGGAGCUGUGCAGGGCCCUGCUCCCAAACUGCAGCCUCGGGCUGCACUGGAAGGUGCUUUGGGUGGCUGGAAAAAAACAUGCACACAGUAAAGAAACUGCGAGAGAUUCACGUUAAUACUGAAACACGGAUAUUAAAUUCAACAUUACUUAUGUAAUAAUAAUUCUGAAGUGUUCAUGCAGGCAGAGGAAGCCUUUGAACUGCUAAAUUUAAGCAAGGGCUGUCAGACUUGUGCUCAUUGACUUUGAAAAGAUAUGACUUCCUGAAUUAACUCUGAACUAAGCUAAAAAAACUGGUGGACUCUUUCUAUCAGCAUUUCUUUAAAAAUAAAACAUGUUUAUCCAUUAUCUCUGUGAAGUUGCAGUGUUUACAAUGCUUUCAAAUGAAAUAUUGGAUACGGUUAAAGAAACAAAUGCCAUGUGCCCGUGUUGGUGAAGGAAAGCCUGUAUCUGAAUUUGUCUUGUGCACUUGGAACCUUUAUUUUUUAAGGUUAUGAAUAACAGUGUCAGUCUUUGGUUUUUAGAUAUAUUUCAAGUUGGUUGCAAGGAAAUACCUGCAUAUUUUUAUUUCUUGUUUCUAUAUUUAUAUUAUUCACAUUACUCAUGAAAAAGAUUAAGGCAAAAUGGGUUUUUCUUACACUAAAACAGGCUUUUGCUGUAAAUUUGCUAUUUCCUCACCUAACCAGGGCACAUAGUGUCAGCACCUCUGGCUCCAAAUCCUAGGGGAUUUUUUGUCUUUUCUCCUUUGCCUCUACUUUCAGUCUGAUACCAUUAAAAUUUAAAGCCUGCACACG
Vidua chalybeata is the source of this 3187-nucleotide long non-coding RNA. RefSeq lists it as uncharacterized. The record is from RefSeq and is a predicted model, not a curated record. NCBI's taxonomy places the organism in Eukaryota, Metazoa, Chordata, Aves, Passeriformes, Viduidae. The transcript is spliced from 3 exons.